Molecule: long non-coding RNA, 1055 nt
Filed under: Helianthus annuus (common sunflower)
Lineage: Eukaryota; Viridiplantae; Streptophyta; Magnoliopsida; Asterales; Asteraceae
Description: sRNA HanXRQr2_Chr03g0112111
Source: RNAcentral
UUCUUCCUGCCUUCUCUCAAAGGCACAACCCAAUUUUCUUUAAAGUUAUUCACCCCUAAAUUCUACAAAGCCCUGCCCCAUUUUAAGUAUGGUAGCCCCUGACUACUGAUACCCUGUCCAAGUGACGUAGGGCCCCGUAACGUAUGUCAAGGCUUUGCCUAAAUUCGUUGGGGUUCUGUCUCGUGACGUAGGGAUAAAGUAGAAUUGGGUUACUAUACUUGAUGUGGGUACACUAUAUAUUUUAUUAAAUAAUCCAGGAGUUGUACCCAAAAUAUAACAAACCUCCCGAAUAUUUUUCUGACACCCUACACUUCCUAAAAUACACCACAUAUGUGAAAACCGAGCCCGAAAUAUAAUAUAGCAUUAAAAAUAAGUGAAAAACAAGAAAUAGUAAGUUGAGGCGGGCCGCGUAGACCCACCCCAACCAUUCACGCGGGCCGUAUGAAGGUGUAACCGGAUUCCUUUGAUUUCUUAAGUCCAGGCGGGCCGCGUAAGGCCACACCGUUAGUUUACGCGGGCCGCGAGUGUCCCGAUUCGUGGCGCAGCCCGGUGAUGACACGUGUCAUCAUCGUGGCAGGUCUAGAGGAUGAGCCGGACAAGCUAGUCCGUUGACCAGGGUUGACGCGGGCCGCGUGACCCCUGUCCUUUCUUUACGCGGGCCGCGUGGGAACCAGAAUCAGCACCUAUAUAAGCAGGCAUCGGGUUUUAGUAUUCCUCGUUCAUUUCUUUUCUUUCUAAACGAAUUCUGAAGUAGUAGAAGUGAUACGCGGGUAUUAUACCCCCUAAUUAGCGAAGCUCUGCCUCGUUACUAUAACCAAGGAAUCACAAAGGAAAGCCUUAUAAUAGCAAUGAAACCUGGAUAUGGAGUAACUUAGUGUAAAGCCAAUAGAAGCCAGCUGGAGAGCACUGAAGGCUUGGAAAAGUGGCAAUAAAGUUACCUAAAAUAAAAUAGAUGUUUUUAUUAAAUAAAAUAGGAUUUAUUCCUAUGAAAAUGUAUGUACUGAAAAACUUGGGUUUUAUCCCAUGUGUUUAAUAUAAUGAAAAGAAGGUGGUUU